GUUGCUUCUCCGCCGGUCGAGGACAACCGACCCCUCGCGUCCGAGGUUAAACGACGUCCGAAGUGUUACCUCCUCGGAGGCACACGUUAAAGAUCGUUCCGGGUUGUGAGUCUUGACACCAACUGUAUGAUGUUUACAACCGGCGGCGUUGGAUCCCUUGGCACGUCAUUCGAUGAAGACCGUUGCAAAUUGCGAUAAAGUGAUGUGAUGCGCAAGUCCACCACUUAUACGUGAAUCAUCGAGUUGUUGAACGCACUGCACCGCGCCCUAAUCCGGCUGCGGUAUGCCCCUUUGAGCGUCAUUUGUUACCCUUCGGGAGCUUUUCCUUGGGAAGGCCCGAGUUCGGAGUCCUCGGUCCUCGGAUCGUGUUCUCUCAGAUCCAUCAUGCCAGCCGUCCAGUGGGUCCUCCAAUGCCUGAGCGUGGAGGGCUUCUGGGGUCUCGAGCGGCGUUCGACCGCGUGGAAAGCGCUGGUCGCCAAGUCCGUGCGGCCCAGCCGUCGGUGCUACAACUCAUGACCUCAUUGGGGUAGGACAACCCGCUAGACUUAAGCAUAUUAAUCAGCGGAGGAAAAGAAACUAACCAGGAUUCCCUCAGUAACUGCGAGUGAAGUGGGAUCA
RNAcentral lists this ribosomal RNA (618 nucleotides) under uncultured Tulasnellaceae. RNAcentral describes it as "eukaryotic LSU rRNA". The stretch from base 514 to 618 matches the Rfam family "Eukaryotic large subunit ribosomal RNA", at positions 1 to 106 of the family's 3401-position model. Lineage: Eukaryota; Fungi; Basidiomycota; Agaricomycetes; Cantharellales; Tulasnellaceae. The record is from RNAcentral.